Molecule: ribosomal RNA, 468 nt
Filed under: uncultured bacterium
Lineage: Bacteria
Description: partial 16S ribosomal RNA
Rfam family: Bacterial small subunit ribosomal RNA
Source: RNAcentral
GACGAACGCUGGCGGCGUGCUUAACACAUGCAAGUCGAACGGAAAGGCCCUGCUUUUGUGGGGUGCUCGAGUGGCGAACGGGUGAGUAACACGUGAGUAACCUGCCCUUGACUUUGGGAUAACUUCAGGAAACUGGGGCUAAUACCGGAUAGGAGCUCCUGCUGCAUGGUGGGGGUUGGAAAGUUUCGGCGGUUGGGGAUGGACUCGCGGCUUAUCAGCUUGUUGGUGGGGUAGUGGCUUACCAAGGCUUUGACGGGUAGCCGGCCUGAAAGGGUGACCGGCGACAUUGGGACAGAGAUACGGCGCAGACUCCUACGGGAGGCAGCAGUGGGGAAUAUUGCACAAUGGGCGGAAGCCUGAUGCAGCAACGCCGCGUGCGGGAUGACGGCCUUCGGGUUGUAAACCGCUUUCGCCUGUGACGAAGCGUGAGUGACGGUAAUGGGUAAAGAAGCACCGGCUAACUACGUG